RNAcentral lists this small RNA (139 nucleotides) under Paenibacillus xerothermodurans. RNAcentral describes it as "Bacillus xerothermodurans c-di-AMP sequence". It matches the Rfam family "c-di-AMP riboswitch aptamer (ydaO/yuaA leader)". Rfam says of the family: This family represents a conserved RNA structure found upstream of the ydaO and yuaA genes in Bacillus subtilis and related genes in other bacteria. The ydaO/yuaA element is thought to act as a genetic "off" switch for the ydaO and yuaA genes in its native state. Lineage: Bacteria; Bacillati; Bacillota; Bacilli; Caryophanales; Paenibacillaceae. The record is from Rfam by way of RNAcentral.
AACCAACAUUUGCCGAAUUUCCAGUCAUAUGGAAAACGGGGGAUCCGAUUUUGGGUGAAUUGAUCUCGCUUCAGAGUGAUCAUAGGGAACCUUCAACCGAACCCUUAAGCUAACCUCGUAGGCGCGGAAGGGGACACUU